UACGUAGGGUGCAAGCGUUAAUCGGAAUUACUGGGCGUAAAGCGUGCGCAGGCGGUUUUGUAAGUCUGUCGUGAAAUCCCCGGGCUCAACCUGGGAAUGGCGAUGGAGACUGCAAGGCUAGAGUUUGGCAGAGGGGGGUAGAAUUCCACGUGUAGCAGUGAAAUGCGUAGAUAUGUGGAGGAACACCGAUGGCGAAGGCAGCCCCCCGGGUCAAAACUGACGCUCAUGCACGAAAGCGUGGGGAGCAAACAGG
Molecule: ribosomal RNA, 253 nt
Filed under: uncultured bacterium
Lineage: Bacteria
Description: partial 16S ribosomal RNA
Rfam family: Bacterial small subunit ribosomal RNA
Source: RNAcentral